Molecule: long non-coding RNA, 502 nt
Organism: Manis javanica (Malayan pangolin)
Lineage: Eukaryota; Metazoa; Chordata; Mammalia; Pholidota; Manidae
Source: RefSeq, a predicted model, not a curated record
GUCUUGUAGGAAGCUGAGAAAUCUGGCUCGGCCUCCAAGAUACAGUUUUCCUACAAACAAGUUGGUUUGUGUACCAAGGGCCUAAGGCCAUUGCACAAACUUCAGAGGAACAAAUACGUGGCUGGUUGGUCACUGGUUCCUCCCUUUCCUUUGAGCCCCACCUCUAAAACAAACUUCGUCUCAUCUUCCUAGUGUCCCGCUUUCUACGCCAGUGAUUUCUCGCUACACCUGUCUUUGUGUGUUGCUGCUAGAAGCUUCAGAGGAACAAGGACUCCAAAAACACAUGAGAGAUCUCCACAAACACUAGAGACUCACCGACUGGAGUGAAUUCCCUCAGUGAAAUCACUCUCCUGUGCCAAGAAUCAAAGGUCACCCCAGCGGAGUGCCGUCUUCAUGUUCGGCUGCUACGGAGUGUCUGGAACAGAGUUAAUGCCCAUGCCACACUGGCUGGCAGCAUCAUCCAUUUCUCACGUGAAGUGAGGAGCAGGGAGGAGUCAUGCAG